UACUGGUUCACACAAGAAAGGACACAAGUCAGCCGUUUCCUCAAGUUCACGUCAGAGGGAUACAUAGCGAGACAGUCUCCGCUUGGACUGGCUGAGGAAAGUCUCCUAAAUGGCCCUGGAGAUGUUCUGACUGACUUUGGAGGCUUUUUGGACUGUUUUAUGCCCUCUAUUUAAAGACUUAAUUCUGUAUGUUCAGUCUGUAUGAUAAGUGAAUAAGUGAAUAAAAAGCUUUUGUUUUUAUGUGA
This is a non-coding RNA of Misgurnus anguillicaudatus (oriental weatherfish), 245 nucleotides long. The record is from RefSeq and is a predicted model, not a curated record. NCBI's taxonomy places the organism in Eukaryota, Metazoa, Chordata, Actinopteri, Cypriniformes, Cobitidae.